This 339-nucleotide ribosomal RNA is filed under the name uncultured Pseudomonas sp. Its description in RNAcentral is "bacterial SSU rRNA". It matches the Rfam family "Bacterial small subunit ribosomal RNA", at positions 65 to 406 of the family's 1533-position model. Lineage: Bacteria; Pseudomonadati; Pseudomonadota; Gammaproteobacteria; Pseudomonadales; Pseudomonadaceae. The record is from RNAcentral.
AGCGGUAGAGAGAAGCUUGCUUCUCUUGAGAGCGGCGGACGGGUGAGUAAUGCCUAGGAAUCUGCCUGGUAGUGGGGGAUAACGUUCGGAAACGGACGCUAAUACCGCAUACGUCCUACGGGAGAAAGCAGGGGACCUUCGGGCCUUGCGCUAUCAGAUGAGCCUAGGUCGGAUUAGCUAGUUGGUGGGGUAAUGGCUCACCAAGGCGACGAUCCGUAACUGGUCUGAGAGGAUGAUCAGUCACACUGGAACUGAGACACGGUCCAGACUCCUACGGGAGGCAGCAGUGGGGAAUAUUGGACAAUGGGCGAAAGCCUGAUCCAGCCAUGCCGCGUGUGU